GAUGAACGCUGGCGGCGUGCUUAACACAUGCAAGUCGAACGGAAAGGCCCAAGCUUGCUUGGGUACUCGAGUGGCGAACGGGUGAGUAACACGUGGGUGAUCUGCCCUGCACUUCGGGAUAAGCCUGGGAAACUGGGUCUAAUACCGGAUAGGACCACAUUUUGGAUGGUGUGGUGGAAAGUUUUUCGGUGUGGGAUGAGCUCGCGGCCUAUCAGCUUGUUGGUGGGGUGAUGGCCUACCAAGGCGUCGACGGGUAGCCGGCCUGAGAGGGUGUACGGCCACAUUGGGACUGAGAUACGGCCCAGACUCCUACGGGAGGCAGCAGUGGGGAAUAUUGCACAAUGGGCGCAAGCCUGAUGCAGCGACGCCGCGUGGGGGAUGACGGCCUUCGGGUUGUAAACUCCGUUCGCUAGGGACGAAGCGUUAUGUGACGGUACCUGGAGAAGAAGCACCGGCUAACUACGUG
This 466-nucleotide ribosomal RNA is filed under the name uncultured bacterium. RNAcentral describes it as "partial 16S ribosomal RNA". It matches the Rfam family "Bacterial small subunit ribosomal RNA", at positions 28 to 507 of the family's 1533-position model. The record is from RNAcentral.